CCAGACUCCUACGGGAGGCAGCAGUGGGGAAUAUUGCACAAUGGGGGGAACCCUGAUGCAGCGACGCCGCGUGGGUGAAGGAGCACCUCGGUGCGUAAAGCCCUAUCGGCAGGGAAGAAAAGCGAACAGGUUCGCCUGGACGGUACCCGACUAAGAAACCCCGGCUAACUACGUGCCAGCAGCCGCGGUAAUACGUAGGGGGCGAGCGUUAUCCGGAUUUACUGGGUGUAAAGGGAGCGUAGACGGUUCUGCAAGUCUGAGGUGAAAGCCCGUGGCUUAACCGCGGAACGGCUUUGGAAACUGUGGAACUGGAGUGCUGGAGAGGCAAGCGGAAUUCCUAGUGUAGCGGUGAAAUGCGUAGAUAUUAGGAGGAACACCAGUGGCGAAGGCGGUCUGCUGGGCAGCAACUGACGCUGAGGCGCGAAAGCGUGGGGAGCAAACAGGAUUAGAUACCCCUGUAAG
This 462-nucleotide ribosomal RNA is filed under the name uncultured bacterium. RNAcentral describes it as "bacterial SSU rRNA". It matches the Rfam family "Bacterial small subunit ribosomal RNA", at positions 331 to 793 of the family's 1533-position model. The record is from RNAcentral.